RNAcentral lists this long non-coding RNA (866 nucleotides) under Malus domestica (apple). Its description in RNAcentral is "long non-coding RNA (MDOM_LNC003864)". Lineage: Eukaryota; Viridiplantae; Streptophyta; Magnoliopsida; Rosales; Rosaceae. The record is from RNAcentral.
CAAGGUGGUUCUUGGGUGAGUUUUGUAGAGGGGAAUGAGAGCUUCAAGAUGGUGGUGGUGGCAUCGAAAAUCUCCACCGGAGUUGGCCGGAAUCGGCCUUGGAAAAUGGGAGAUCGCGGUCGGUGUGGGUCCUUCUUAACCAAUUAACUAACUUUAAAUAACCAACUUCAAGCGUUUGUAACUAUACCGUUAUAAUCCAGACUCAUAAACAUCUUUCGCCUAUGCGUUUGUACCAACGAGUACUACUUAAAUACGCCAAAAGAAUAAGUCACACAUUCCUCUAGACGAUGGUCAACAGAAAUCAAAAUCCUUGCCUCUAGGCAUUUUCGUCAAUUUCCUUGAUUAAAAUAAAUAAAUAAAACGAAAUUUUAGGGACAGGUUGUCACAAUACAAACCCUCAUGAAUAUAUUUUUAAGGAGUUCAAAAUAAAUAAAAUUCAUAAUCAUUAAUGCUUAAGUCUGAAAAAUGUGAAAGCAUAUAUAAACGCUCGUAAUUGCAUUCUCUACGCUUAGACGAUGGUUACAUGGUUGUUUAGAUUUUUAAAACCUUCCAAAUCUCAUGAAUAGUAUUUUUCACCUAGAGUCUGUGCUAUGGCACUCUAGCUCAAUGAUCAAGGUGCUUAAGUAUGAUCAUCGCCUAAAACAAACUACAAAUCCCAACUUAGAAUUCUUCCGAUAAAUCACAUAAUUCUAGGUUACACACAUGCACUACAACAAUCAAGAGGACUUGAGACACGUUGACCAAAAGGAAACCCUUGGUCAACACGGCCAAUGGUCAGGUCCACAACCUUAGUAAUUCAAUCUGGAAGAUCCGUAGAUCGGAUGUCUGAUCCGUAAGUUUCUAAAGUUCUUAAAUAAUACGUGUAA